AUGAACGCUGACAGAAUGCUUAACACAUGCAAGUCGAUGGGGAAGUGGUGCUUGCACCAUGGCAACCAUGGCGGACGGGUGAGUAACGCGUAAGGGACUUACCUGCAGGACUGGGAUAACAGGGGGAAACUCCUGACAAGACCGGAUAAUGUCAUGGAGCUGCAUGGCUUUAUGAUGAAAGGAGACGCCUGCGGAGAGCCUUGCGUCCUAUUAGCUAGUUGGUGAGGUAAUGGCUCACCAAGGCGAAGAUAGGUAGCCGGCCUGAGAGGGUGGACGGCCACAAGGGGACUGAGAUACGGCCCUUACUCCUACGGGAGGCAGCAGUGGGGAAUAUUGGACAAUGGGGGCAACCCUGAUCCAGCAAUUCUGUGUGCACGAAGAAGGUUUUCGGAUUGUAAAGUGCUUUCAGCAGGGAAGAAGUAAGUGACGGUACCUGCAGAAGGAGCGACGGCUAAAUACGUG
Molecule: ribosomal RNA, 462 nt
Filed under: uncultured bacterium
Lineage: Bacteria
Description: partial 16S ribosomal RNA
Rfam family: Bacterial small subunit ribosomal RNA
Source: RNAcentral